This 758-nucleotide small RNA is filed under the name Pongo abelii (Sumatran orangutan). RNAcentral's name for it is "sense overlapping". The record is from RNAcentral. Lineage: Eukaryota; Metazoa; Chordata; Mammalia; Primates; Hominidae.
GUCGUAAAAGGGGACGCGGAGGAGAAGGAAAGUCGCUCAAGCAGUGGACAGAACGGAGAAAGCGACUUCGGGUUGGUUGAAGGUUCAGCCUGAGAAAGCUCCUGAGCAUGUGCAAAAAAGAAAAGAAAAGAAGAAAAGAAAAGUAAAGAAAAGAAAAAAGGAAAAAAGGCAAGCUCCUGAGUGGGUCUCUCAGGGAGCCACCGGACAGCCGCAGAGAGAAGAAGCUGCCCAAGAAUGGAAAGGAAGAAAUAUAUCACAUCAUCUGUCUGUCCACAGGCUUUCCUUGGGGCUUAUGAAGGUAUUUUAGAAUUUUUAUAUUGGCAUUUUUCAGGGGAGAUAAAGGUGAACCCUCAAGGGCAGUCAGACAACAGUCUUGAAAGUUUGGGCUUCCUUGUUGGUACACUAACCUGACUUUAAUAGCUUUCUUAUUAGUCAAUAACCAAGGUUAAUAUCAACGACUUUGUUUUUAGAUUUGAAGCCAUCAUGUAUGAUAUCGCCAGACGUAUUGCUGUGCUUUGAGUGACCUUUUGUUAUUUUGAAUUGAGGCUACUUAUUGAUUUUUCUCUUUUUUUAGCUUACUUUAUGAUAAAUUCUUUAAUGCAUAUUUUGGUAUUUGUACUUUAUAAGUAUGAACCCAGAAAGCAAAAUUCAAGUAUCCUUAGCUAUUUCUAACAAAAUGCAUUUUAGAAAAUGAUAAGGUUUUCAGGUGGAGUCUUAGCUUUAUUUAUAUUCAUAAGCCUUUCAUCUUUAUACAUACU